Colletotrichum caudatum is the source of this 89-nucleotide non-coding RNA. Lineage: Eukaryota; Fungi; Ascomycota; Sordariomycetes; Glomerellales; Glomerellaceae. The record is from the annotation of a GenBank genome assembly.
UCCGAUAUGGUGUAGUGGCCAACAUGAUGCCCUCUCAUCUCACAAUGAGAGGUUAGGCAUAGCCCCGAGUUCGAUUCUCGGUUUCGGAA